GGUCAAGUAGAAAAGGGCGCACGGUGAAUGCCUAGGCACUAAAAGCCGAUGAAGGACGUGACGAACUACGAAAAGCUUCGGGGAGCGGUAAGUACGCAGAGAUCCGGAGAUGUCCGAUGGGGGAACCC
This 128-nucleotide ribosomal RNA is filed under the name Lactobacillus gallinarum. Its description in RNAcentral is "partial 23S ribosomal RNA". It matches the Rfam family "Bacterial large subunit ribosomal RNA", at positions 1 to 129 of the family's 2925-position model. Lineage: Bacteria; Bacillati; Bacillota; Bacilli; Lactobacillales; Lactobacillaceae. The record is from RNAcentral.